CAGUCGCCACGGUAAUACGAAGGGUGCAAGCGUUAAUCGGAAUUACUGGGCGUAAAGCGCACGUAGGCGGCUUGGUAAGUUAGAGGUGAAAGCCUGGAGCUCAACUCCAGAAUUGCCUUUAAGACUGCCGAGCUAGCAGGUGAGAGAGGUAAGUGGAAUUCCGAGUGUAGAGGUGAAAUUCGUAGAUAUUCGGAAGAACACCAGUGGCGAAGGCGGCUUACUGGCUCAUACUGGACGCUGAGGUGCGAAAGCGUGGGGAGCAAACAGGAUUAGAUACCCGCGUAGUCCCUGUCUCUUAUAC
Molecule: ribosomal RNA, 301 nt
Filed under: uncultured bacterium
Lineage: Bacteria
Description: partial 16S ribosomal RNA
Rfam family: Bacterial small subunit ribosomal RNA
Source: RNAcentral